GAUGAACGCUGGCGGCGUGCCUAAUACAUGCAAGUCGAGCGAACGGACGAGAAGCUUGCUUCUCUGAUGUUAGCGGCGGACGGGUGAGUAACACGUGGAUAACCUACCUAUAAGACUGGGAUAACUUCGGGAAACCGGAGCUAAUACCGGAUAAUAUUUUGAACCGCAUGGUUCAAAAGUGAAAGACGGUCUUGCUGUCACUUAUAGAUGGAUCCGCGCUGCAUUAGCUAGUUGGUAAGGUAACGGCUUACCAAGGCAACGAUGCAUAGCCGACCUGAGAGGGUGAUCGGCCACACUGGAACUGAGACACGGUCCAGACGCCUACGGGAGGCAGCAGUAGGGAAUCUUCCGCAAUGGGCGAAAGCCUGACGGAGCAACGCCGAGUGAGUGAUGAAGGUCUUCGGAUCGUAAAACUCUGUUAUUAGGGAAGAACAUAUGUGUAGGUAACUGUGCACAUCUUGACGGUACCUAAUCAGAAAGCCACGGCUAACUACGUG
RNAcentral lists this ribosomal RNA (497 nucleotides) under uncultured bacterium. RNAcentral describes it as "partial 16S ribosomal RNA". It matches the Rfam family "Bacterial small subunit ribosomal RNA", at positions 28 to 507 of the family's 1533-position model. The record is from RNAcentral.